This 253-nucleotide ribosomal RNA is filed under the name uncultured bacterium. RNAcentral describes it as "partial 16S ribosomal RNA". It matches the Rfam family "Bacterial small subunit ribosomal RNA", at positions 524 to 776 of the family's 1533-position model. The record is from RNAcentral.
UACGGAGGGUGCAAGCGUUGUCCGGAAUCACUGGGCGUAAAGGGCGCGUAGGCGGCCCGGUAAGUAGGGGGUGAAAUCCUGCGGCUUAACCGCAGGGCUGCCUUCUAAACUGUCGGGCUCGAGCACGGUAGAGGCAGAUGGAAUUCCGGGUGUAGCGGUGGAAUGCGUAGAGAUCCGGAAGAACACCGGUGGCGAAGGCGGUCUGCUGGGCAGUUGCUGACACUGAGGCGCGACAGCGUGGGGAGCAAACAGG